CCCUUAGAUGUUCUGGGCCGCACGCGCGCUACACUGAUUCAUGCAACAAGUUUUGUCCUUGGCUGAUAGGUCUGGGUAAUCUUUGAACGCUGUUCGUGACUGGGAUAGACCUUUGCAAUUAUGGGUCUUCAACGAGGAAUUCCUAGUAAACGCAAGUCAUCAGCUUGCAUUGAUUACGUCCCUGCCCUUUGUACACACCGCCCGUCGCACCUACCGAUUGAAUGGUCCGGUGAAAUCUCGGGACGGCGGCUUGGUCGCUUGCGUCCGACUGCUGAAACUUGAUUAAACCAUAUCAUUUAGAGGAAGGUGAAGUCGUAACA
This 320-nucleotide ribosomal RNA is filed under the name uncultured eukaryote. RNAcentral describes it as "partial 18S ribosomal RNA". It matches the Rfam family "Eukaryotic small subunit ribosomal RNA", at positions 1470 to 1796 of the family's 1831-position model. The record is from RNAcentral.